GAUGAACGCUGGCGGCGUGCUUAACACAUGCAAGUCGAACGGGAAAUAUUUCAUUGAGACUUCGGUGUAUUUGAUCUAUUUCUAGUGGCGGACGGGUGAGUAACGCGUGGGUAACCUGCCUUAUACAGGGGGAUAACAGUCAGAAAUGGCUGCUAAUACCGCAUAAGCGCACAGAGCUGCAUGGCUCAGUGUGAAAAACUCCGGUGGUAUAAGAUGGACCCGCGUUGGAUUAGCUAGUUGGUGGGGUAACGGCCCACCAAGGCGACGAUCCAUAGCCGGCCUGAGAGGGUGAACGGCCACAUUGGGACUGAGACACGGCCCAGACUCCUACGGGAGGCAGCAGUGGGGAAUAUUGCACAAUGGGGGAAACCCUGAUGCAGCGACGCCGCGUGAAGGAAGAAGUAUCUCGGUAUGUAAACUUCUAUCAGCAGGGAAGAUAGUGACGGUACCUGACUAAGAAGCCCCGG
RNAcentral lists this ribosomal RNA (467 nucleotides) under uncultured bacterium. Its description in RNAcentral is "bacterial SSU rRNA". It matches the Rfam family "Bacterial small subunit ribosomal RNA", at positions 28 to 496 of the family's 1533-position model. The record is from RNAcentral.